UACGUAGGGAGCAAGCGUUGUCCGGAAUCAUUGGGCGUAAAGCGCGCGUAGGCGGCCUCAUAAGUCCGUUGUGAAAGUCAAAGGCUCAACCUUUGAAAGCCGAUGGAUACUGUGAGGCUAGAGUCCGGAAGAAGCGAGUGGAAUUCCUGGUGUAGCGGUGGAAUGCGCAGAUAUCAGGAGGAACACCAAUAGCGAAGGCAGCUCGCUGGGACGGUACUGACGCUAAGGCGCGAAAGCGUGGGGAGCGAACAGG
RNAcentral lists this ribosomal RNA (253 nucleotides) under uncultured bacterium. Its description in RNAcentral is "partial 16S ribosomal RNA". It matches the Rfam family "Bacterial small subunit ribosomal RNA", at positions 524 to 776 of the family's 1533-position model. The record is from RNAcentral.